This 512-nucleotide ribosomal RNA is filed under the name Helicobacter pylori. RNAcentral describes it as "partial 23S ribosomal RNA". It matches the Rfam family "Bacterial large subunit ribosomal RNA", at positions 1746 to 2268 of the family's 2925-position model. Lineage: Bacteria; Pseudomonadati; Campylobacterota; Epsilonproteobacteria; Campylobacterales; Helicobacteraceae. The record is from RNAcentral.
GUGUGCCGCAGCAAUGCGGUCUCAGCAAAGAGUCCCUCCCGACUGUUUACCAAAAACACAGCACUUUGCCAACUCGUAAGAGGAAGUAUAAGGUGUGACGCCUGCCCGGUGCUCGAAGGUUAAGAGGAUGCGUCAGUCGCAAGAUGAAGCGUUGAAUUGAAGCCCGAGUAAACGGCGGCCGUAACUAUAACGGUCCUAAGGUAGCGAAAUUCCUUGUCGGUUAAAUACCGACCUGCAUGAAUGGCGUAACGAGAUGGGAGCUGUCUCACCAGAGAUUCAGUGAAAUUGUAGUGGAGGUGAAAAUUCCUCCUACCCGCGGCAAGACGGAAAGACCCCGUGGACCUUUACUACAACUUAGCACUGCUAAUGGGAAUAUCAUGCGCAGGAUAGGUGGGAGGCUUUGAAGUAAGGGCUUUGGCUCUUAUGGAGCCAUCCUUGAGAUACCACCCUUGAUGUUUCUGUUAGCUAACUGGCCUGUGUUAUCCACAGGCAGGACAAUGCUUGGUGGGUAG